GACGAACGCUGGCGGCGUGCCUAAUACAUGCAAGUCGAACGCUGAAGCGCGGCGCUUGCUCUUCUUGGAUGAGUUGCGAACGGGUGAGUCACGCGUAGGUAACCUGCCUUGUAGCGGGGGAUCACUAUUGGACACGAUAGCUAAUACCGUAUAACAUUGGCUGCCACAUGUCAUUUAUUUGAAAGGGGCAAUUGCUCCACUAUAAGCUGGACCCGCGUUGUCUUAGCUAGUAGGUGAGGUAAUGGCACACCUAGGCGACGAUACAUAGCCGACCUGGGAGGGUGGUCGGGCACACUGGGAAUGUGAGACGGCCCAUACGCCUACGGGAGGCAGCAGUAGGGAAUCUGCGGAAAAGGGGGCAACGCUGGCCGGGCAACGGCACGGGAGUGGAGAAAGGGUUCGGAGCGUAAAGCUCUGGUGUAAGUCAAGAACGGGUGUGAGAGUGAAAAGUGCACACUGUGACGGUAGCUUACCAGAAAGCGACGGCUAACUACGUG
Molecule: ribosomal RNA, 497 nt
Filed under: uncultured bacterium
Lineage: Bacteria
Description: partial 16S ribosomal RNA
Rfam family: Bacterial small subunit ribosomal RNA
Source: RNAcentral